GCGUCCUAUUUGAUGAAGUAUUUUACGGAUGUAAAAAAGUCUAACGACUUGCAUGUCCGAGAGCGCAAAACCCCAUGUGGAUUCUUUCCGUUGCCUUCCUUCUGAUUUCUCCU
This 113-nucleotide small nucleolar RNA is filed under the name Plicaturopsis crispa FD-325 SS-3. RNAcentral describes it as "Small nucleolar RNA Z13/snr52". It matches the Rfam family "Small nucleolar RNA Z13/snr52". From Rfam's summary of the family: Z13 or snr52 is a member of the C/D class of snoRNA which contain the C (UGAUGA) and D (CUGA) box motifs. Most of the members of the box C/D family function in directing site-specific 2'-O-methylation of substrate RNAs. Lineage: Eukaryota; Fungi; Basidiomycota; Agaricomycetes; Amylocorticiales; Amylocorticiaceae. The record is from Rfam by way of RNAcentral.